CCUACGGGAGGCAGCAGUGAGGAAUAUUGGUCAAUGGGCGUAAGCCUGAACCAGCCAAGUCGCGUGAGGGAUGAAGGUUCUAUGGAUCGUAAACCUCUUUUAUAAGGGAAUAAAGUGCGGGACGUGUCCCGUUUUGUAUGUACCUUAUGAAUAAGGAUCGGCUAACUCCGUGCCAGCAGCCGCGGUAAUACGGAGGAUCCGAGCGUUAUCCGGAUUUAGUGGGUUUAAAGGGUGCGUAGGCGGCCUUUUAAGUCAGCGGUGAAAGGCUGUGGCUCAACCAUAGAAUUGCCGUUGAAACUGGGAGGCUUGAGUAUGUUUGAGGCAGGCGGAAUGCGUGGUGUAGCGGUGAAAUGCUUAGGUAUCACGCAGAACCCCGAUUGCGAAGGCAGCCUGCCAAGCCAUGACUGACGCUGAUGCACGAAAGCGUGGGGAUCAAACAGGAUUAGAUACCCUUGUAGUC
RNAcentral lists this ribosomal RNA (460 nucleotides) under uncultured bacterium. RNAcentral describes it as "partial 16S ribosomal RNA". It matches the Rfam family "Bacterial small subunit ribosomal RNA", at positions 338 to 795 of the family's 1533-position model. The record is from RNAcentral.